This 2600-nucleotide ribosomal RNA is filed under the name Escherichia coli. RNAcentral's name for it is "bacterial LSU rRNA". It matches the Rfam family "Bacterial large subunit ribosomal RNA", at positions 359 to 2925 of the family's 2925-position model. The record is from RNAcentral. Lineage: Bacteria; Pseudomonadati; Pseudomonadota; Gammaproteobacteria; Enterobacterales; Enterobacteriaceae.
ACAGGGUGACAGCCCCGUACACAAAAAUGCACAUGCUGUGAGCUCGAUGAGUAGGGCGGGACACGUGGUAUCCUGUCUGAAUAUGGGGGGACCAUCCUCCAAGGCUAAAUACUCCUGACUGACCGAUAGUGAACCAGUACCGUGAGGGAAAGGCGAAAAGAACCCCGGCGAGGGGAGUGAAAAAGAACCUGAAACCGUGUACGUACAAGCAGUGGGAGCACGCUUAGGCGUGUGACUGCGUACCUUUUGUAUAAUGGGUCAGCGACUUAUAUUCUGUAGCAAGGUUAACCGAAUAGGGGAGCCGAAGGGAAACCGAGUCUUAACUGGGCGUUAAGUUGCAGGGUAUAGACCCGAAACCCGGUGAUCUAGCCAUGGGCAGGUUGAAGGUUGGGUAACACUAACUGGAGGACCGAACCGACUAAUGUUGAAAAAUUAGCGGAUGACUUGUGGCUGGGGGUGAAAGGCCAAUCAAACCGGGAGAUAGCUGGUUCUCCCCGAAAGCUAUUUAGGUAGCGCCUCGUGAAUUCAUCUCCGGGGGUAGAGCACUGUUUCGGCAAGGGGGUCAUCCCGACUUACCAACCCGAUGCAAACUGCGAAUACCGGAGAAUGUUAUCACGGGAGACACACGGCGGGUGCUAACGUCCGUCGUGAAGAGGGAAACAACCCAGACCGCCAGCUAAGGUCCCAAAGUCAUGGUUAAGUGGGAAACGAUGUGGGAAGGCCCAGACAGCCAGGAUGUUGGCUUAGAAGCAGCCAUCAUUUAAAGAAAGCGUAAUAGCUCACUGGUCGAGUCGGCCUGCGCGGAAGAUGUAACGGGGCUAAACCAUGCACCGAAGCUGCGGCAGCGACGCUUAUGCGUUGUUGGGUAGGGGAGCGUUCUGUAAGCCUGUGAAGGUGUGCUGUGAGGCAUGCUGGAGGUAUCAGAAGUGCGAAUGCUGACAUAAGUAACGAUAAAGCGGGUGAAAAGCCCGCUCGCCGGAAGACCAAGGGUUCCUGUCCAACGUUAAUCGGGGCAGGGUGAGUCGACCCCUAAGGCGAGGCCGAAAGGCGUAGUCGAUGGGAAACAGGUUAAUAUUCCUGUACUUGGUGUUACUGCGAAGGGGGGACGGAGAAGGCUAUGUUGGCCGGGCGACGGUUGUCCCGGUUUAAGCGUGUAGGCUGGUUUUCCAGGCAAAUCCGGAAAAUCAAGGCUGAGGCGUGAUGACGAGGCACUACGGUGCUGAAGCAACAAAUGCCCUGCUUCCAGGAAAAGCCUCUAAGCAUCAGGUAACAUCAAAUCGUACCCCAAACCGACACAGGUGGUCAGGUAGAGAAUACCAAGGCGCUUGAGAGAACUCGGGUGAAGGAACUAGGCAAAAUGGUGCCGUAACUUCGGGAGAAGGCACGCUGAUAUGUAGGUGAAGCGACUUGCUCGUGGAGCUGAAAUCAGUCGAAGAUACCAGCUGGCUGCAACUGUUUAUUAAAAACACAGCACUGUGCAAACACGAAAGUGGACGUAUACGGUGUGACGCCUGCCCGGUGCCGGAAGGUUAAUUGAUGGGGUCAGCGCAAGCGAAGCUCUUGAUCGAAGCCCCGGUAAACGGCGGCCGUAACUAUAACGGUCCUAAGGUAGCGAAAUUCCUUGUCGGGUAAGUUCCGACCUGCACGAAUGGCGUAAUGAUGGCCAGGCUGUCUCCACCCGAGACUCAGUGAAAUUGAACUCGCUGUGAAGAUGCAGUGUACCCGCGGCAAGACGGAAAGACCCCGUGAACCUUUACUAUAGCUUGACACUGAACAUUGAGCCUUGAUGUGUAGGAUAGGUGGGAGGCUUUGAAGUGUGGACGCCAGUCUGCAUGGAGCCGACCUUGAAAUACCACCCUUUAAUGUUUGAUGUUCUAACGUUGACCCGUAAUCCGGGUUGCGGACAGUGUCUGGUGGGUAGUUUGACUGGGGCGGUCUCCUCCUAAAGAGUAACGGAGGAGCACGAAGGUUGGCUAAUCCUGGUCGGACAUCAGGAGGUUAGUGCAAUGGCAUAAGCCAGCUUGACUGCGAGCGUGACGGCGCGAGCAGGUGCGAAAGCAGGUCAUAGUGAUCCGGUGGUUCUGAAUGGAAGGGCCAUCGCUCAACGGAUAAAAGGUACUCCGGGGAUAACAGGCUGAUACCGCCCAAGAGUUCAUAUCGACGGCGGUGUUUGGCACCUCGAUGUCGGCUCAUCACAUCCUGGGGCUGAAGUAGGUCCCAAGGGUAUGGCUGUUCGCCAUUUAAAGUGGUACGCGAGCUGGGUUUAGAACGUCGUGAGACAGUUCGGUCCCUAUCUGCCGUGGGCGCUGGAGAACUGAGGGGGGCUGCUCCUAGUACGAGAGGACCGGAGUGGACGCAUCACUGGUGUUCGGGUUGUCAUGCCAAUGGCACUGCCCGGUAGCUAAAUGCGGAAGAGAUAAGUGCUGAAAGCAUCUAAGCACGAAACUUGCCCCGAGAUGAGUUCUCCCUGACCCUUUAAGGGUCCUGAAGGAACGUUGAAGACGACGACGUUGAUAGGCCGGGUGUGUAAGCGCAGCGAUGCGUUGAGCUAACCGGUACUAAUGAACCGUGAGGCUUAACCUUACAACGCCGAAGCUGUU